AGAGUUGAUCAUGGCUCAGGAUGAACGCUGGCGGCAUGCCUAACACAUGCAAGUCGAACGGAGUUGGAGGUAGCUUGCUACUGACAACUUAGUGGCGGACGGGUGAGUAACGCGUGAGUAACCUGCCUCUAAGAGGGGGAUAACGUUCUGAAAAGAACGCUAAUACCGCAUAUAAUUACGAAAUCGCAUGAUUUUGUGAUGAAAGGAGCAAUCCGCUUAGAGAUGGACUCGCGUCUGAUUAGCUGGAUGGUGGGGUAACGGCUCACCAUGGCGACGAUCAGUAGCCGGACUGAGAGGUUGAACGGCCACAUUGGGACUGAGACACGGCCCAGACUCCUACGGGAGGCAGCAGUGGGGGAUAUUGCGCAAUGGGGGAAACCCUGAACCGCAGCAAUGCCGCGUGAAGGAUGAAGGUUUUCGGAUUGUAAACUUCUUUUGUUAAGGACGAUAAUGACGGUACUUAACGAAUAAGCUCCGGCUAACUAUGUGCCAGCCGCUGC
RNAcentral lists this ribosomal RNA (500 nucleotides) under uncultured bacterium. RNAcentral's name for it is "bacterial SSU rRNA". It matches the Rfam family "Bacterial small subunit ribosomal RNA", at positions 8 to 518 of the family's 1533-position model. The record is from RNAcentral.